CAGCCGCCGCGGUAAUACGAAGGGGGCUAGCGUUGUUCGGAAUCACUGGGCGUAAAGGGUGCGUAGGCGGAUUCUUAAGCCAGGGGUGAAAUCCCGAGGCUCAACCUCGGAACUGCCUUUGAUACUGGGGAUCUUGAGUCCGGAAGAGGUGAGUGGAACUGCGAGUGUAGAGGUGAAAUUCGUAGAUAUUCGCAAGAACACCAGUGGCGAAGGCGGCUCACUGGUCCGGAACUGACGCUGAGGCACGACAGCGUGGGGAGCAAACAGGAUUAGAUACCCCCGUAGUCCCUGUCUCUUAUAC
Molecule: ribosomal RNA, 301 nt
Filed under: uncultured bacterium
Lineage: Bacteria
Description: partial 16S ribosomal RNA
Rfam family: Bacterial small subunit ribosomal RNA
Source: RNAcentral